UCCUCGAUGGUCCAUCGGCUAGGAUCCCACGCUUUCACUUAUAUAAUUGAACCGUGGUGGGCCGGGUUCGAUUCCCGGUCGGGGAA
Phellopilus nigrolimitatus is the source of this 86-nucleotide non-coding RNA. The record is from the annotation of a GenBank genome assembly. Lineage: Eukaryota; Fungi; Basidiomycota; Agaricomycetes; Hymenochaetales; Hymenochaetaceae.